Molecule: long non-coding RNA, 882 nt
Filed under: Trifolium pratense (red clover)
Lineage: Eukaryota; Viridiplantae; Streptophyta; Magnoliopsida; Fabales; Fabaceae
Description: long non-coding RNA (TPRA_LNC002829)
Source: RNAcentral
AAAGCUUAGGCGCGGCUUGAGCCAAAAGCUAGAGGAGAAAAUGCAUUAUUCACAAAACUUACAAAGUUACAAUGUGGUUCACUUAUUUAUACAUUGUAAAUGAUAAGCUUUAGAUCUAACUAACUAACUAUUGGUUGCAAGGAAACUAACUAGCAACUAAUCCUAACCAUCUUUGGGACAAAGUAGUUAUGGAAGUUAGAUGACUUGUGAAGCAAGUAAUCUCUUCACUCCUUCUUGCCCUUCAGCUUUAACGAACAACCAUCCACUCUCAAUUAAAAUCCUAAAUUUUGAGUUAACAUCCAAAACAAGAGUCAAUCUGCAUAAAUAAUAAAAUCAUACCCACCCAAUUAGAAUUCUAAACUUUACUAUAAACAUCAUGUCAUGAUUCAACUUCUGAGUGGCAUAGGCGCAUACAUGCAAACCCUCUCCCACCAUAAAACAACUAUUAUGAAUGAAGAUUCAAAACUUCAACCUCUCCUGCUACCAGUGCAAGGUUUUAGAACCAACUUUGAAACCUUUAGCUAAUGCAAGUACAAUGGAGAACUCAAGCUUAUUUCAUAUGGUCCCAGUCCUUUCCUGUUUUUGCAGAAAUGCAUAACUUAUUCUGUCUUAGAUUCAUGUCAAUGCCAUAUCGAUCAAUUCAUCUAUCCACUCAUCACCAACAAACAGUCCUUCUCACACAUAAGGCACUCUUCCAUAUAAAGGUCAGUGUAACACGCGCAAGUAGAAAAAUAUCAAACAAUGCUUGAAAACAAAAUCAGCAUAAAUGUCUUUGAAAUGGUGUAAACAAAAUCAGACCAAGAACAAAAUCCAUUAUCUUAUGUAUAUAGUUUUUGUAGAAAUGUUUUUAGGCUUCAAAUACACAGAUAAUUAAGUUUAAUC